CCAAGACUUCACAGAAGGGACCCUCAUACUGGGGGCGGGGGGACUUUAACAUAGCACUUGACCCUACAUGGGACAACUCAUCGGGCGCCUCCCACGUUCCAACACAACAACUCCAGAACAUUAAAUCCCUACUCCGCAACCGACGCCUUGUCGAUUGCUGGAGAGUCCACCACCUGGACAUAAGAGACUUCACCUUCUACUCCCACCGCACAACUCUUACUCCCGAAUAGACCACAUAUACACUACACACUACGACCUCUCUCUAGUGUCCGAAGUAACAAUCGGAGUGGCCAC
Pelobates cultripes (western spadefoot toad) is the source of this 294-nucleotide non-coding RNA. NCBI's taxonomy places the organism in Eukaryota, Metazoa, Chordata, Amphibia, Anura, Pelobatidae. The record is from the annotation of a GenBank genome assembly.